GGGUAUAGCUCCGUGGUAGAGCACAUGCCUGGCAUGCACGAGGUCCUGGGUUCAAUCCCCAGCACGACCA
This 70-nucleotide transfer RNA is filed under the name Camelus bactrianus (Bactrian camel). It matches the Rfam family "tRNA". From Rfam's summary of the family: Transfer RNA (tRNA) molecules are approximately 80 nucleotides in length. Their secondary structure includes four short double-helical elements and three loops (D, anti-codon, and T loops). Further hydrogen bonds mediate the characteristic L-shaped molecular structure. tRNAs have two regions of fundamental functional importance: the anti-codon, which is responsible for specific mRNA codon recognition, and the 3' end, to which the tRNAs corresponding amino acid is attached (by aminoacyl-tRNA synthetases). tRNAs cope with the degeneracy of the genetic code in two manners: having more than one tRNA (with a specific anti-codon) for a particular amino acid; and 'wobble' base-pairing, i.e. permitting non-standard base-pairing at the 3rd anti-codon position. RNAcentral also lists the same sequence under 2 other names. Lineage: Eukaryota; Metazoa; Chordata; Mammalia; Artiodactyla; Camelidae. The record is from Rfam by way of RNAcentral.